This 522-nucleotide ribosomal RNA is filed under the name uncultured Lactococcus sp. RNAcentral's name for it is "bacterial SSU rRNA". It matches the Rfam family "Bacterial small subunit ribosomal RNA", at positions 965 to 1487 of the family's 1533-position model. Lineage: Bacteria; Bacillati; Bacillota; Bacilli; Lactobacillales; Streptococcaceae. The record is from RNAcentral.
AGAACCUUACCAGGUCUUGACAUACUCGUGCUAUUCCUAGAGAUAGGAAGUUCNUUCGGGACACGGGAUACAGGUGGUGCAUGGUUGUCGUCAGCUCGUGUCGUGAGAUGUUGGGUUAAGUCCCGCAACGAGCGCAACCCUUAUUGUUAGUUGCCAUCAUUAAGUUGGGCACUCUAGCGAGACUGCCGGUAAUAAACCGGAGGAAGGUGGGGAUGACGUCAAAUCAUCAUGCCCCUUAUGACCUGGGCUACACACGUGCUACAAUGGUUGGUACAACGAGUCGCAAGACAGUGAUGUCAAGCUAAUCUCUUAAAGCCAAUCUCAGUUCGGAUUGUAGGCUGCAACUCGCCUACAUGAAGUCGGAAUCGCUAGUAAUCGCGGAUCAGCACGCCGCGGUGAAUACGUUCCCGGGCCUUGUACACACCGCCCGUCACACCACGAGAGUUUGUAAUACCCAAAGCCGGUGAGCUAACCUUUUAGGAGGCAGCCGUCUAAGGUAGGAUAGAUGAUUGGGGUGAAGUC